CUACGGGUUGCUGCAGUGGGGAAUAUUGGGCAAUGGGCGCAAGCCUGACCCAGCAACGCCGCGUGAGGGAAGAAUGUCUUCGGAUUGUAAACCUCUGUCCUUGGGGACGAAAAAAAUGACGGUACCCAAGGAGGAAGCUCCGGCUAACUACGUGCCAGCAGCCGCGGUAAUACGUAGGGAGCAAGCGUUGUCCGGAAUUAUUGGGCGUAAAGGGUGCGUAGGCGGCAAUACAAGUCAGAUGUGAAAUCCCCGGGCUUAACUCGGGUAUUGCAUUUGAAACUGUAUAGCUUGAGUAAAGAAGAGGUAAGUGGAAUUCCUAGUGUAGCGGUGGAAUGCGUAGAUAUUAGGAGGAACACCAGUGGCGAAGGCGACUUACUGGUCUUUUACUGACGCUGAGGCACGAAAGCGUGGGGAGCAAACAGGAUUAGAUACCCUCGUAGUC
Molecule: ribosomal RNA, 442 nt
Filed under: uncultured bacterium
Lineage: Bacteria
Description: partial 16S ribosomal RNA
Rfam family: Bacterial small subunit ribosomal RNA
Source: RNAcentral